This 353-nucleotide long non-coding RNA is filed under the name Mytilus galloprovincialis (Mediterranean mussel). Lineage: Eukaryota; Metazoa; Mollusca; Bivalvia; Mytilida; Mytilidae. The record is from RNAcentral.
GUCUCCAUUGUCCAAGCUGCGGCCUCCAUAAGCAGUCUGCUGCUUACCAGCGGCACCAUGGGGUCUGCUCUGACCGGGGUUGGUGUCGCGGCGUCCCUCCCUCUUGGAUCCCUCGCUUGCCUGUGUGCUACGACCGCCCUAGUGCUCUCGCUGAUCGUCAAGCGAAUCACCAAGAAGAAGAAGAAGCAUCAUGAUACUCUCCGCUUGGCCAGAUCCUACCAAUCCCAGCUCCCGGGUGAAGAUGGUGCCAUUGCCGUCUGCCUGAAGAAUUACUACGAUGAGAAAGAUCAGUUGCGCCGACCUUCUACCACUUUUAGUGAGGACCUUAAUGCGCAUGCGCCGUAAAAACACGC